Molecule: long non-coding RNA, 234 nt
Filed under: Elaeis guineensis (African oil palm)
Lineage: Eukaryota; Viridiplantae; Streptophyta; Magnoliopsida; Arecales; Arecaceae
Description: long non-coding RNA (EGUI_LNC076354)
Source: RNAcentral
UCAGGAGUUUAUCCACUUCCUCGACUAUCACUUUUUGCCUUUCCGAUGCAUGACCUCGAAUUUUUUCUUUCGUCGGUCGAUGCUUUGGAUCAACGGCCAGACGAUGUUCCAUGACCUCUGCAUCAAUCUUCGGCAUGUCUGCAGGAACCCAAGCGAAAACAUCCACAUUCUUUCAUAGAAAAUCAAUGAGCUGCGUCCGCACCUCUUCCCCCAGGUUGGAGCCGAUCUUCACCA